UACGUAGGGUGCAAGCGUUAAUCGGAAUUACUGGGCGUAAAGGGCUCGUAGGCGGCCAACUAAGUCGGAUGUGAAAUCCCCAAGCUUAACUUGGGAACUGCAUCCGAUACUGGAUGGCUUGAAUCCGGGAGAGGGAUGCAGAAUUCCAGGUGUAGCGGUGAAAUGCGUAGAUAUCUGGAGGAAUACCGGUGGCGAAGGCGGCAUCCUGGACCGGCAUUGACGCUGAGGAGCGAAAGCUAGGGGAGCAAACGGG
RNAcentral lists this ribosomal RNA (253 nucleotides) under uncultured bacterium. RNAcentral describes it as "partial 16S ribosomal RNA". It matches the Rfam family "Bacterial small subunit ribosomal RNA", at positions 524 to 776 of the family's 1533-position model. The record is from RNAcentral.